CAGUGGAUUUUUUUCUAAACGGCCGCGGUAUCUUGACCGUGCAAAGGUAGCAUAAUCAUUUGUCUCUUAAAUGGGGACUUGUAUGAAUGGCUUUUCAUUCUUCAGCUGUCUCCCUUUCUCCCCGUUAAAACUUCUUUUCACGUGAAGAAGCGUGAUUAAAUAAGUUAGACGAGAAGACCCUGUCGAGCUUUAGCUAACUAUAAAAUACUCUUAGUUUUUUAAAAACAAUUAAAUAUUUAUUUUAAGCUUUGGUUGGGGCAACCAUGGAGAAAAAACAUCCUCCAGUUUUAAAUAAGAAGAAUACAAUUCACUUAACCUAAAAUUUUGAACCAGAACUUCUGGAAAACGGAAAAAGUUACCGCAGGGAUAACAGCGUUAUCUUCUCUAAGAGCUCAUAUUGACGAGAAGGAUUGCGACCUCGAUGUUGGAUUGGGGUAACCUAAGGGUGUAGCAGCUCUUUAAAGGUUGGACUGUUCGUCCAUUAAUUCCCUACGUGAUCU
Molecule: ribosomal RNA, 500 nt
Filed under: Bathyplotes sp. 2 AM-2017
Lineage: Eukaryota; Metazoa; Echinodermata; Holothuroidea; Aspidochirotida; Synallactidae
Description: partial 16S ribosomal RNA
Rfam family: Bacterial large subunit ribosomal RNA
Source: RNAcentral